CAUGCAAGUCGAACGGUAACAGGGAGCUUGCUCCGCUGACGAGUGGCGAACGGGUGAGUAAUACAUCGGAAUGUACCCAGUCAUGGGGGAUAACGCUUCGAAAGGAGUGCUAAUACCGCAUACGCCCUGAGGGGGAAAGUGGGGGACGCGCAAGCGCCUCACGUGAUUGGAGCAGCCGAUGGCUGAUUAGCUAGUUGGUAGGGUAAAGGCCUACCAAGGCAACGAUCAGUAGCGGGUCUUAGAGGACGAUCCGCCACACUGGAACUGAGACACGGUCCAGACUCCUACGGGAGGCAGCAGUGGGGAAUCUUGGACAAUGGGCGAAAGCCUGAUCCAGCAAUGCCGCGUGCGUGAAGAAGGCCUUCGGGUUGUAAAGCGCUUUUGUCGGGGAGGAAAUCCUAACGGUUAAUACCUGUUGGGGAUGACAGUACCCGAAGAAUAAGCACCGGCUAACUACGUGCCAGCAGCCGCGGUAAUACGUAGGGUGCAAGCGUUAAUCGGAAUUACUGGGCGUAAAGCGUCCGCAGGUGGCUUGAUAAGAUAGACGUGAAAUCCCUGGGCUCAACCUAGGAAUUGCGUAUAUGACUGUCUCGCUAGAGUAUGGGAGAGGGGGGUGGAAUUCCGCGUGUAGCAGUGAAAUGCGUAGAGAUGCGGAGGAACACCGAUGGCGAAGGCAACCCCCUGGCCUAAUACUGACACUCAUGGACGAAAAGCGUGGGGGAGCAAAACAGGAUUAGAUACCCUGGUAGUCCACGCCCUAAACGAUGUCUUACUAGUUGUUGGGGCUUUUCGGAGCUUUAUAAACGCAGCUAACGCGUGAAGUAGACCGCCUGGGGAGUACGGUCGCAAGACUAAAACUCA
Molecule: ribosomal RNA, 861 nt
Filed under: Deefgea sp. UA-JF1505
Lineage: Bacteria; Pseudomonadati; Pseudomonadota; Betaproteobacteria; Neisseriales; Chitinibacteraceae
Description: bacterial SSU rRNA
Rfam family: Bacterial small subunit ribosomal RNA
Source: RNAcentral